This 468-nucleotide ribosomal RNA is filed under the name uncultured bacterium. Its description in RNAcentral is "partial 16S ribosomal RNA". It matches the Rfam family "Bacterial small subunit ribosomal RNA", at positions 28 to 507 of the family's 1533-position model. The record is from RNAcentral.
GACGAACGCUGGCGGCGUGCUUAACACAUGCAAGUCGAACGGAAAGGCCCUGCUUUUGUGGGGUGCUCGAGUGGCGAACGGGUGAGUAACACGUGAGUAACCUGCCCUUGACUUUGGGAUAACUUCAGGAAACUGGGGCUAAUACCGGAUAGGAGCUCCUGCUGCAUGGUGGGGGUUGGAAAGUUUCGGCGGUUGGGGAUGGACUCGCGGCUUAUCAGCUUGUUGGUGGGGUAGUGGCUUACCAAGGCUUUGACGGGUAGCCGGCCUGAGAGGGUGAACGGCCACAUUGGGACUGAGAGACGGCCCAGACUCCUACGGGAGGCAGAAGUGGGGAAUAUUGCACAAUGGGCGGAAGCCUGAUGCAGCAACGCCGCGUGCGGGAUGACGGCCUUCGGGUUGUAAACCGCUUUCGCCUGCGACGAAGCGUGAGUGACGGUAAUGGGUAAAGAAGCACCGGCUAACUACGUG